Molecule: long non-coding RNA, 392 nt
Organism: Passer domesticus (house sparrow)
Lineage: Eukaryota; Metazoa; Chordata; Aves; Passeriformes; Passeridae
Exons: 3
Source: RefSeq, a predicted model, not a curated record
UGCUGUGCUCUACUCCAGCCCCAAGCCCUGUGGGAUUGUCCAGCCUCACAGCACUGCAGAGAUCCCAGUGCUGGUGGAAGUGCAGGCGCUGGGCACGCAUCGCACCAAUGUUCUCAUCGGCGUGUUCGGGGAUGAGAGAAACCCACUGAGAAAAAAGUUAUGGAGCUCUGGACGGCUGGCAGAAACCUCCCCAAGCCCAAGGCUGAUGGAGUCUGGCAGGAUCCCAGCACUACAGCCGAUAGAUGAGCUUCACCCACCUAAAUUCAAUCCCCAACCACCAAAGGAGAUGAGAACAUGUUUGGAUUGCCCAGCGUCUCGAUGGAGGCACUUCAAGGCUGGAAAGCAGGAGGCAGCCACAGCCCUGACUGAAGAGCAGGAUUUGACCCAGUCUU